This 71-nucleotide transfer RNA is filed under the name Furfurilactobacillus siliginis. RNAcentral describes it as "Lactobacillus siliginis tRNA". It matches the Rfam family "tRNA". Rfam says of the family: Transfer RNA (tRNA) molecules are approximately 80 nucleotides in length. Their secondary structure includes four short double-helical elements and three loops (D, anti-codon, and T loops). The record is from Rfam by way of RNAcentral. Lineage: Bacteria; Bacillati; Bacillota; Bacilli; Lactobacillales; Lactobacillaceae.
GGUGGUAUAGCCAAGUGGUAAGGCACAGGUCUGCAAAACCUCGAUCACCGGUUCGAAUCCGGUUACCACCU